UGGGGAAUUUUGCACAAUGGGGGAAACCCUGAUGCAGCGACGCCGCGUGAUUUAGAAGGCCUUCGGGUUGUAAAAAUCUUUUGUAUGGGAAGAAAAUGACAGUACCAUACGAAUAAGGACCGGCUAAUUACGUGCCAGCAGCCGCGGUAAUACGUAAGGUCCGAGCGUUGUCCGGAAUCAUUGGGCGUAAAGGGUGCGUAGGUGGUCUUUCAAGUCGGUGGUUAAAGGCUACGGCUCAACCGUAGUUAGCCUCCGAAACUGGAAGACUUGAGUGCAGGAGAGGAAAGUGGAAUUCCCAGUGUAGCGAUGAAAUGCGUAGAUAUUGGGAGGAACACCAGUAGCGAAGGCGGCUUUCUGGACUGCAACUGACACUGAGGCACGAAAGCGUGGGUAGCAAACAGG
Molecule: ribosomal RNA, 402 nt
Filed under: Verrucomicrobiota bacterium
Lineage: Bacteria; Pseudomonadati; Verrucomicrobiota
Description: Verrucomicrobia bacterium partial 16S ribosomal RNA
Rfam family: Bacterial small subunit ribosomal RNA
Source: RNAcentral